This 1061-nucleotide long non-coding RNA is filed under the name Scophthalmus maximus (turbot). RNAcentral describes it as "lncRNA (ENSSMAG00000031734.1)". Lineage: Eukaryota; Metazoa; Chordata; Actinopteri; Pleuronectiformes; Scophthalmidae. The record is from RNAcentral.
GGCAGGUGGACGACUCAGUGGUCGGCCUCUGUUGGCAGGAAGACCAGCUGGCCUUUCAGCAGAAUGUUUGCUGCAGGGCGUCCGUGUUGGAAAAACUGCUGCAAAACCCUCAGAACAAAUGGCUCAUACCCGUGUGCACAGACAUAGAAAUGAAGGUGCCACCACAGGUGUGCAAGUACUCUGAGUGGAUACAUCCCAUCAUCGUGGACAUGACUGAGCUCGCUCUCUGCACAGAGAUCGACACCCUCAACUUCACCGCCAAAGUCUGCACCAACGAAACCAUCGUCCGGAACCUGUUGGCCAAUCAGGAAAACACCUGGUUGAUACAGCACUGUGCCAACCAUUCGAAACCCGGGGUAUCUCCUGGUGGGGACGGGGGACAAGGAGAGGGCCAGACUACAUUCAACCCCGCCGACCAGUGCCAGUACUCCAGCUGGAGUGUUUCUCUUCCGGGCGUAGCACUCCUGACUCUCUGCUGGGAGAGCGACCAGAGCAACUUUGUCUCCUCCGUCUGCCAAAACACGGUCCUUCUCCCUCUGCUGUCCCGGGAGCCGUCCAGCAUGUGGGUGAGCAGCAUGUGUACCACCUACACCAACUACACCACCGCCACCAAGAACAACAGUACCGGUGCCACCGCAGAGCCGGAUGCUUGCCUGGCCAGAAAGCUGGUGAGGCAGUACAACUGGAAUUGCUCAGCGGACUUCACCUUCGCCUGUCGGCCCGGGGCCAGUCAGAACAUGGCCCUGCAGAUGAUGGUGCGCUGCUGGGUGGAGAGUCUGAAGUCCAGGGUGGAGGCUCUGCUGACUCCGCCCGUGGCCGCAGUGUUGGAGCAGGCAGUCAGCACCACUGUGGUCGUCCUGUUGGCCGCGGAGGACGUCCAGAACACCUCGCUACAUGUCACGGAAAACAUAAGGCUCAGCGUGUUGGCGUCUGUAGUUCGCUAUCUCGACAGGGAAAAGAACUUUGAGAGGAAGAGGGUUUUGCUGCAGUGCUUCGGGGUGGGUAGUUUGACUGUGCAGUGACUGUGCGAAAAGAAAAGUAUCUCGCUAUCUGUGAUGAAG